GAUGAAGAACGCAGCGAAAUGCGAUAAGUAAUGCGAAUUGCAGAAUUUCCGUGAGUCAUCGAAUCUUUGAACGCACAUUGCGCCCGCCAGCAUUCUGGCGGGCAUGCCUGUUCGAGCGUCAUUUCAACCCUCGACCUCCCUUUGGGGAAGUCGGCGUUGGGGACCGGCAGCACACCGCCGGCCCUGAAAUGGAGUGGCGGCCCGUCCGCGGCGACCUCUGCGUAGUAAACCAACUCGCACCGGAACCCCGACGUGGCCACGCCGUAAAACACCCAACUUCUGAACGUUGACCUCGAAUCAGGUAGGACUACCCGCUGAACUUAAGCAUAUCAAUAAGCGGAGGA
Molecule: unclassified non-coding RNA, 344 nt
Filed under: soil metagenome
Description: partial contains 5.8S ribosomal RNA, internal transcribed spacer 2, and large subunit ribosomal RNA
Rfam family: 5.8S ribosomal RNA (bases 1-121)
Source: RNAcentral